GCGUAAAUUUGAUGUUAGCAACAACUUAAAAAUGUUAUUUUUGAGAAACAUGGACGAACGUCUAAUUCCUGAAGUGAGACUGUGAGAGCUAGUUGGGCGAGGUAGAGGGGCGGUGGUGGUACAACACAGAGUGUGGCUGUCCUGGCAGGUCUCUUGCUCAAAUUCCAAUGAUACAACUUUAAUCAGACCUAAUCUGCUUAUCGACCUCCCAGGACGCUGUUCGGCCUUAAGUGUUUAACGGAAUGCAUGGACCCGUAAGAUGCUGCCACUCGAAAGCAUAAGGAUCUGCAGAAUGACGUUACGGCAAAGAGGGCCCGUCAUCGUUACAGUCUUUUUCACGAACGAGGAAAUCUACAGCACCUGGUGUCACAGGAAGGCCAAGAAGAUCAUCAAGGACCUCAACCACCCGAUCCAUGGCCUGCUCACCCCUUUAACAUCCAGAAGGCGAGGUUUUUCCUAGGCUGUUCACUGGGUGAUACUGUACCUGUCAGUGAUUGGACGCCCCGCUGCGUCAUCCCUAACUGUCCCUGACAGGUGGGCCAUUAUAUGAAGAGAGGAAAAUAAUCCCUCUCUUCUGAAGAUCACCUUUCAAGAAAUGAACAUUCUCAGUUGCUAGUCGCCCAACUUCAAGCUCAUACCUGAAACCUGCACGGAAUAAUGAAUCCACUCCUAAAAAUAAUGACUAUAUUUUAAGCACAAGCGCUUAAAUGUCCAUCUCUGGGUUCGGCUUUUGUGUGAGUCUCUGAGUUUCUGUGUACGUGCAUGUGCGUGCAUACACGUGUGUAUGUACAAAAGUAGAAAAUGUGUGUGUACCAAACUGGGCAAGUGGCAGGUCAUUGAGCGGUGGGUAGCGCAGAAUUUGUGACCCGGUCUCAGUGUCUCCACUGUACUGUGUGUGUAUGUCUGUGUAGAAGGUUGGGGAUGCCCACUGGCUCCCGAUCCAGCUUACUGUACCAUAGAUGACAUUAACCCUCCCAGUCCCACAUCCCCGCAACCACUUGACAUUUUAAUCGACAUUUCCCUGAGUGCUCUCACAUUAAAGGGCGUGACAUUUCAUUUGCACACGAGGCUGAUUAAAAUACCCCCUUAUGGUCUCAAGAAAAGAGGGGACAGGCCGUUCGUGUACCCUCUGUUCAGAAGAAGAACAAAAGGAACGAAUGUGAGAUGUGCCGAUGGAGAAGAUGAUGGAGAGGCCUUUCCUGGUUUUACUUUGAAGCUGUGGGCAUGAGACAAAGCAAAGGGCAGAUCUAGUGUUUCCUUUGUAGGCUUAUAUUGAAAACAUAUAGGUGUGAAAAGUACAUUGAAAGGAUGAUCUCGUCGAAAAGCCCAGCCCACGUUGUAUUAUUCAUACUUACUCACAAUCAGUUCCCAACUUAUCUGAAAUCCUAUUGUUUGUUCCUGUUAGUUUUUCUCCACGGCUGUUCAGAAGAGAAAUUCACAUUUUGACUGCUUCACUCAGUGUUCGUCACUGGCAGGUUGGAUUUGUGUCUAUGUCACAGCACCUGAGUGGCAGUGGUCUGUCUGGGUGUUGCUGCUACGGUGUGUUAGUCCCAGCUGUGCUGUGUUUUCUGACUCCAGGCGAGGUCUCACCUGCCACCUCCUGUUGGCACAGAGCGCUGUACACUGGCCUGGGGCCUGUUAUUGUCACUGAUGUACGUACGGCCCUGCCGGUCGCCUGGGGUCCACUCUAAACGCCUCGCUUCCAAAGCCAUUCACACUCAGCAGCAGCACCAACAGCCCUCUGUCUGCCUCCAGGUCUCUCUGAUCUGACAUGGCACACCUCAGAGUUUGACUUUGUUUGGGGUUCUGUUUUUUUAAUGUUGGAAUUCACUGUAAAUGCUUAUAGAGACCUAUAUGGAUCCGACCUACUGAGAGUGUUCAGAAAUGGCUUGAAGUGGAGAAUAGAUGCAUAGAGAAAACAACUCUGUUUAUUGAAAUGCGGUCAUGUAUUCAUCUACUGCAUACUCAUAUACUUUACUGUCAAUGGAUAAUACAUGUAUUUCAAAAAUUGUGUUGACACUACUAGCAUAUACAAAAGGUCAUGGACAUUGAGAUACCUAGUCAGAUCUGCCUCUGUGUUACAAAGUCAUUGAUUUAAGCGUGCAAAGCCGGUGGCAUUUCUGGCUACAAAAACAAUACUAUCAUUAUGAAUGCUAUAAAUAUGAAUGACUGUAUAUUUGCUGUGUGUAUACCU
Salmo salar (Atlantic salmon) is the source of this 2194-nucleotide non-coding RNA. Lineage: Eukaryota; Metazoa; Chordata; Actinopteri; Salmoniformes; Salmonidae. The record is from RefSeq and is a predicted model, not a curated record.